CAAAAUCCCUCAAAAUGUUGAACUGUUCCUUUAAAUAUCCCCAUAAACCUUAGAUGAACAUCUGUUUGUUCCAGUGCUUCAGUGUAUCACAGCUAUAGUACACUACCUCUUGUGGCUUAAGAUUCAAACCUUCUUGUAAAUUAUUCUAUACAUUGUUUUUCUGUAAUCUAGUCUGACAUCAUUGGUAUAUUUAGGAUCUUUAAACGCACAGUAUGUAACUUCUGCCUCCAGGGGUCUCUCAAUCAAAACAAUAACAAAAGAUGGGACCAUGGGAGUUGUUGUCUUCACCACCAUUACAGUAAUCUACUCCCGGUUUGGAUUCCUCCAGUGUCAAGGGGUUCAAGAAAUCAAACAGACCAGGUGAUUCCGACCGUUAAAAACAAGUAAUAAAGCAGCGACGCUGUACGGAGGACAGAGACUCAGGGAAGAGCUGGAGCUGAGAUUGAUGCUAACCUUUGUUUGGACUGUUUCUCUGAUAAUUUAUGAACCAGACGUUCAGGAGGUUUUUAACAGCAGCUGAAUUAGCCACAGAGGUGUCCUCCUCUCCAUAACAAACACACCAGGGGAUUAAAACCACUAAACGAAUAACGCAGUCUCACUUUAAAAAAAAAAAAAAAAUCAGUGAUUUGCUGACGCACGUCGGCGGAGAGGGAGUAGCUGGAAACUGAGACUGCUUACCUUUGUUAAUAAAUUAUGAACCAGGCGUUCAGCAGGCUUUUCCCGGCAGCCAAAUUAUCUGCAAAGGUGCUCUCGUCUCCACAACAAACGGACCAGGGGCUUAAACCCGGUAAACGAACAAAGCAGUUUCACUUUAACAAAAAUAAAUCAGUGAUUCACCGACACUCUUCAGUGACACAGGACAGGACGUCUCCAGCAGCUGGGAGCUGAGCUGUCUAACAUUUCCUCAGCUUGUUUCUCUGAUAACUUCAGAUCCAGACGUCCGGUGACCAAAAUCCUAUUAUAAUCUAUUCAAAUAUAGAGCUGAAAACCACCAAGGUGUAAAAAGCGUAUGUGGCUUAAAACUAGAUAAAAGUCAAUGUUGAGAUUCUGGCAGGCAUCCACAACACCGACCCAUGCACAUAGGGGAUGAUGUCAUUGACUGUUACCAUAUUAAAAAUACGUAUUUAUCUGGUUUGCGAAUUAUUGGAAACAUUUGUGAAAAUCAGAGUUUGUGUUUGAUCUGUGAUGGAUUUGUGGGGUUAAGGAGGUAAAAUGAUUUCGCUCCACUCUACCUGUAUUCCCUGGAUACAAGCGCUGACAAUCUCUCUGUAGUGGUGUUUGGUGCAGAGUGGACAUGCAUGCUGGCUCUGCCACAGAAGGUGGAAAGAACAACCAUCACACGUCCCCUCUGAACAGUUACUGCGGAGGAAAACAAGCGAUAGCUGGCUGCAGCAUUCAGUCCAUACCGAUGAGUGAGUCACCGAUGAGGAAAGGCUGGGAGGACACCACGCUCUGACUCCUGAUUUCAGAGGGAACCACGGUGGACUGGCAGACGUAACCUCUGACCUCUCUCC
Seriola aureovittata is the source of this 1514-nucleotide long non-coding RNA. RefSeq lists it as uncharacterized. The transcript has 3 exons. The record is from RefSeq and is a predicted model, not a curated record. NCBI's taxonomy places the organism in Eukaryota, Metazoa, Chordata, Actinopteri, Carangiformes, Carangidae.